Molecule: ribosomal RNA, 427 nt
Filed under: uncultured bacterium
Lineage: Bacteria
Description: bacterial SSU rRNA
Rfam family: Bacterial small subunit ribosomal RNA
Source: RNAcentral
UGGGGAAUUUUGGACAAUGGGCGCAAGCCUGAUCCAGCAAUGCCGCGUGCAGGAUGAAGGCCUUCGGGUUGUAAACUGCUUUUGUACGGAGCGAAAAGGUCUGCCCUAAUACGGUGGGCUCAUGACGGUACCGUAAGAAUAAGCACCGGCUAACUACGUGCCAGCAGCCGCGGUAAUACGUAGGGUGCGAGCGUUAAUCGGAAUUACUGGGCGUAAAGCGUGCGCGGGCGGUUAUAUAAGACAGGUGUGAAAUCCCCGGGCUCAACCUGGGACCUGCAUUUGUGACUGUAUAGCUAGAGUACGGUAGAGGGGGAUGGAAUUCCGCGUGUAGCAGUGAAAUGCGUAGAUAUGCGGAGGAACACCGAUGGCGAAGGCAAUCCCCUGGACCUGUACCGACGCUCAUGCACGAAAGCGUGGGGAGCAAACA